Molecule: long non-coding RNA, 208 nt
Filed under: Lathyrus oleraceus (garden pea)
Lineage: Eukaryota; Viridiplantae; Streptophyta; Magnoliopsida; Fabales; Fabaceae
Description: Pisum sativum (pea) long non-coding RNA (PSAT_LNC018306)
Source: RNAcentral
AAGAAUAAUUUUGUGUUUACAAAGUUUGCUUCUUAAAUAAGCAGAUAACACACAAUGAAGUUCAAAUGAAUACACUUAAAAUGAUAUACAAUGAAAACUCUAAGUGUUUCUCUCUUCUCUUUUCUUUUCUGCACAAAUAAUUUUUCUUUGUUCUUAUGCUUUGUUGCUUCUCUCUUUGUGUUAUGAUGUUGCGAAGACUCUCUCUCUC